UUUUUCAUAAUUUGUUUAUAAUAGUUUAGAUUGUAUAGCUAUUAUAAAAUAUAUUAUUAAAGGUAUCAAUAUUACAUAUGUGGCAUUGAAGUUAUUAGAAGCUGAUAUUUUACAUUUUAAAUUUUUAAAGCAAUACAAGAUUAAACUUAGCAGAAGGCUAAACUUCUGCUCUGGAG
Hydra vulgaris (swiftwater hydra) is the source of this 176-nucleotide long non-coding RNA. RefSeq lists it as uncharacterized. NCBI's taxonomy places the organism in Eukaryota, Metazoa, Cnidaria, Hydrozoa, Anthoathecata, Hydridae. The record is from RefSeq and is a predicted model, not a curated record.